Rattus norvegicus (Norway rat) is the source of this 131-nucleotide small nucleolar RNA. Ensembl annotates it as small nucleolar RNA SNORA17. The record is from Ensembl. NCBI's taxonomy places the organism in Eukaryota, Metazoa, Chordata, Mammalia, Rodentia, Muridae.
ACUGCCCUUAGGAGCACUGCAAGUGUGGCUGCUGUGUCACAUGUGUUUCAGUAGAUGGCAGUGAGGGGAGAGGCUGUGCCUCGGCCCAGUGUUCUGCCCUGUGAACAUCAGAAUAAUUAGUAGCCAAUGUU